UAUAACAAGGGGAGCUUUUGCUGAGAGUUAUCGCAUUCGCGAUAUGACCCUCCGAACCUGAAACGGAUAAUGCCGGCGCAGGGAUGUUAUACAGU
RNAcentral lists this non-coding RNA (95 nucleotides) under bovine gut metagenome. RNAcentral's name for it is "TPP riboswitch (THI element)". It matches the Rfam family "TPP riboswitch aptamer (THI element)", at positions 6 to 95 of the family's 105-position model. From Rfam's summary of the family: Vitamin B(1) in its active form thiamin pyrophosphate (TPP) is an essential coenzyme that is synthesised by coupling of pyrimidine and thiazole moieties in bacteria. The previously detected thiamin-regulatory element, thi box was extended, resulting in a new, highly conserved RNA secondary structure, the THI element, which is widely distributed in eubacteria and also occurs in some archaea. Analysis of operon structures identified a large number of new candidate thiamin-regulated genes, mostly transporters, in various prokaryotic organisms. The record is from RNAcentral.